RNAcentral lists this ribosomal RNA (476 nucleotides) under uncultured bacterium. RNAcentral's name for it is "bacterial SSU rRNA". It matches the Rfam family "Bacterial small subunit ribosomal RNA", at positions 31 to 507 of the family's 1533-position model. The record is from RNAcentral.
GAACGCUGGCGGCGUGCUUAACACAUGCAAGUCGAACGAAGCACUUUAAAACUAAUCUUCGGGUGCGUUUUAUUGUGACUUAGUGGCGGACGGGUGAGUAACGCGUGGGUAACCUGCCUCAUGCAGGGGGAUAACAGUUAGAAAUGACUGCUAAUACCGCAUAAGCGCACAGUGCCGCAUGGUACAGUGUGAAAAGAUUUAUCAGCAUGAGAUGGACCCGCGUCUGAUUAGCUAGUUGGUGAGGUAACGGCUCACCAAGGCGACGAUCAGUAGCCGACUUGAGAGAGUGAUCGGCCACAUUGGGACUGAGACACGGCCCAGACUCCUACGGGAGGCAGCAGUGGGGGAUAUUGCACAAUGGGCGAAAGCCUGAUGCAGCGACGCCGCGUGAGGGAAGACGGUUUUCGGAUUGUAAACCUCUGUCUUCGGGGACGAAAAUGACGGUACCCGAGGAGGAAGCCACGGCUAACUACGUG